AAGUGGCGCACGGGUGAGUAACACGUAGGCAAUCUGCCUUUAGGACGGGAACAACCCCGAGAAAUCGAGGCUAAUACCCGGUAAUGCAGCGGCACCGCAUGGUGACAGUUGUUAAAUGCCCGCAAGGGCGCCUAGAGAUGAGCCUGCGCCCCAUUAGGUAGUUGGUGAGGUAACGGCCCACCAAGCCUACGAUGGGUAGCUGAUCUGAGAGGAUGAUCAGCCACACUGGAACUGAGACACGGUCCAGACUCCUACGGGAGGCAGCAGUGAGGAAUAUUGCGCAAUGGCCGAAAGGCUGACGCAGCGACGCCGCGUGAAGGAUGAAAUCCGUUAGGAUGUAAACUUCUUUUGCAGGGGAUGAAUGUUCCGGUUUCCGGAAUUGACCGUACCCUGCGAAUAAGGAUCGGCUAACUACGUGCCAGCAGCCGCGGUAAUACGUAGGAUCCGAGCGUUGUCCGGAUUUACUGGGUGUAAAGGGCGUGUAGGUGGGUCUCUAAGUCGGUGGUGAAAUCCUGCAGCUUAACUGCAGAACUGCCAUUGAUACUGGAGGUCUUGAGUACGGCAGAGGGAGAUGGAAUUCAUGGUGUAGCGGUGAAAUGUGUAGGUAUCAUGAAGAACACCGGUAGCGAAGGCGGUCUCCUGGUCCGUAAC
RNAcentral lists this ribosomal RNA (651 nucleotides) under uncultured bacterium. Its description in RNAcentral is "bacterial SSU rRNA". It matches the Rfam family "Bacterial small subunit ribosomal RNA", at positions 93 to 740 of the family's 1533-position model. The record is from RNAcentral.